AUCAGGGGUGAUCUUUCGGAUGCUGAUCUAAGAGGGGCAGACUUUUCAUUGGCAAAUGUGACAAAGGUAAAUCUAAGCAAUGCAACUUGGAAGGGGCACUUACGACUGGGAACACAUCUUUCAAGGGAUCAAUCAUAACUGGUGCUGACUUUACAGAUGUGCCUUUGAGAGAUGAUCAACGGGAAUACCUUUGCAAAGUUGCAGAUGGGGUAAAUUCAACAACCGGCAAUGCAACGCGUGACACAUUACUUUGCAACUAGAAUUUCUUUACUCAUGUACAGAG
Pistacia vera is the source of this 283-nucleotide long non-coding RNA. RefSeq lists it as uncharacterized. NCBI's taxonomy places the organism in Eukaryota, Viridiplantae, Streptophyta, Magnoliopsida, Sapindales, Anacardiaceae. The record is from RefSeq and is a predicted model, not a curated record. The transcript has 4 exons.